Long non-coding RNA from Cervus elaphus (red deer), 2061 nucleotides. RefSeq lists it as uncharacterized. The record is from RefSeq and is a predicted model, not a curated record. Lineage: Eukaryota; Metazoa; Chordata; Mammalia; Artiodactyla; Cervidae. The transcript is spliced from 4 exons.
AAAAAAAUAAAUAAUAUAUAUCCUUCAGCUGCUUGUGUGGUGUCCUAUAAAUGUCAAUUAAGCCAAACUGGUUGGACUGUUAUUUAAACCUUCUACAUCCUCAGUGAUUUUUUUUUUGUCUAGUGAUUUAGUCAAUUAUUAAGAGCAUUAAAAUCUCCAAAUAGGAUUGUGUAAUUGUCUAUUCCCUUCCUUCAGUUCUGCUUCCUUAUGUUUCACAUAUUUUGAAACUUCAAUUAUGCAUUUAGAGGAAAAUACUGUGGUACAGUAGGGGAAAAAAAAAAAGACUCAUGAAUCAAAAAGCCUGAAAUUCUUCUUUGACUCUGAUAAUCAAUUGCAAAGCAGGAAUAAUACCUACUUCAAUGAGUUACUGACUUCAUUUCUGUAACUGUCUCCUCCUUGCAAGAAUAGGACUUUUGUCAAAUGCCUUGUAAACCAUCAUGUACUAUGUUGAUUUAAUUAAUACUAUUAUUAUUAGCAUUACUUAAGGAGAAACAGAGUCAUGAGGUUACUGAUGUCAGGCCCCAGACAGAAGACAAUCUAUUUAGCUUAUAAACCUGGGCUCUAGGCAUCAUAAAGAAAAAACAAAAGAGAGUAGAUGACAAAGCUCUAAAGGUAUUUAACUCUUAUCUCUAGGGAUGCAUGAAUGAUUAGAACCCAACAGAGAACCAGAGAAAGUUCAGACUCACCGACCAGAGAAAUCUAAUUCCGUAGCAGAAUAUACAUAAAUAAAAAGUGAAUCUCCACCUAGAUGGGUGAAGAGUAGAAGUUAGACAAACAUUUACUCAAAACAAAGUCUUUGAGCUAAAGAAUUCAAGAUAGCACAUUUGGGGAUAACACAGUUACUCAUAAGAAACUGAUGAUAUAAUGUUACCCAAAAAGCCAAAGACAUAAAAAUCUUCCAGCCUCUGUUUAAAAAUAAGAUUUCUACAAGUAUAUACUGGUUUCAGUGAAGUUUUCUUCUAUGUCAGACUCCCUGAUGAUAGUGCCUAUGUUUGGUUUUUUUUUUUUACAUGACAAUGAGAAAUAGUGCUUGGUGUCCAGAGGAUAAUCAGUAAAAACCCAGUGAAAUGAACUACAGCAUGUCCAGAAAAGGGAUGCUUCCUAUUAAAAUGUCAAUCUACAGCAAGCUGGAACUAUCUCUGCCAAGGUUUCAUCCCCAAAGUCAUUUUUAUGUAAGAAGUACUAUUUUACACAUCAAGGACCUUCACCUAUACACAUACCUAUUUGGUUUUCUCCCUCCAGCCCAAUUUUUUCAUCUGUAAAUGAGGAAUAACUACAGUAUCUACCUACUUCAUAAAGUUACUAUGAAGAUUUAAUGUUCAGUACUUAGAAUGGUGGCUGCGACAAAGUAGGCACCAUGACUUACUUUUUCACUCGUGGCACACAGUUUGAUAUCUGGUAUACACUAAGUUCUCAAUAUAUAAUCGUUGAAGAAUGAACAGGUGAACAAAUGGGUAAAAAUUUAAUUCUCAACUAAAAAGAUAAAGUGUUUCAAGGAAAUGUGCCACCUGUCCUCCUGAGUCAUAAGAUAACCUACCAGCUCCACGUCAGAGGUCACUGAUUUCUGGAGAGUCAGUAGAAAUUGAAAUUAACUAAUUUCAUUCUAUAACUGGAGACUUUCCCCAAGAAGUAUUAAAAACAACUACAACAAUAUGAUUUAGUUUGAGACCCUCUGUGCCUAUAAUUGAGACUUGUUACAAAUGCUGACACUAACCCAGAGCUACAGACUAUAAGUAAUACCCUUUUUAAGAAACUCCAUAGUUUUGAGAAGAAUAUAAUAGUGUCAUUAUUCUUAUUGCCUUAUCAAGGCGGUGUAGCACUUCAUGUACUUGACAAACUUGUUUGUUUACAGAUUAACUACUCCAACUGAGGUGAUGUAUACGUGAAAAAAAAAACAAACUCUAAAGCAAUGCUUGGCUAGAAUGCACGGUUAACCAACAGUGGCUCAAAACAGACUAUACCUAGUUAUUUAACUCAUUCAGAAAAAGAUUUACAUUAAAAAAAAAAAUCCCAUUAUUACUAUGAAUUUUUUUUUUUUUUAGAAUGCCCCAUUGUUUAAGC